AGUGAACGCUGGCGGUAGGCCUAACACAUGCAAGUCGAACGGCAGCACAGGAGAGCUUGCUCUCUAGGUGGCGAGUGGCGGACGGGUGAGGAAUACAUCGGAAUCUGCCCAGUCGUGGGGGAUAACGUAGGGAAACUUACGCUAAUACCGCAUACGACCUUCGGGUGAAAGAGGGGGAUCGCAAGACCUCUCGCGAUUGGAUGAGCCGAUGUCGGAUUAGCUAGUUAGCGGGGUAAUGGCCCACCAAGGCGACGAUCCGUAGCUGGUCUGUGAGGAUGAUCAGCCACACUGGAACUGAGACACGGUCCAGACUCCUACGGGAGGCAGCAGUGGGGAAUAUUGGACAAUGGGCGAAAGCCUGAUCCAGCCAUACCGCGUGGGUGAAGAAGGACUUCGGGUUGUAAAGCCCUUUUGUUGGGAAAGAAAUCGUUCAGGCUAAUACCCUGGGAGGAUGACGGUACCCAAAGAAUAAGCACCGGCUAACUUCGUG
Molecule: ribosomal RNA, 490 nt
Filed under: uncultured bacterium
Lineage: Bacteria
Description: partial 16S ribosomal RNA
Rfam family: Bacterial small subunit ribosomal RNA
Source: RNAcentral